RNAcentral lists this transfer RNA (75 nucleotides) under Chitinophagales bacterium. RNAcentral's name for it is "tRNA-Val". It matches the Rfam family "tRNA". From Rfam's summary of the family: Transfer RNA (tRNA) molecules are approximately 80 nucleotides in length. Their secondary structure includes four short double-helical elements and three loops (D, anti-codon, and T loops). The record is from RNAcentral. Lineage: Bacteria; Pseudomonadati; Bacteroidota; Chitinophagia; Chitinophagales.
GGGAUAUUAGCUCAGUUGGUUUAGAGCACUACCUCGACAAGGUAGGGGUCGUAAGUUCGAAUCUUACAUGUCCCA